UGGGGAAUAUUGCACAAUGGAGGGAACUCUGAUGCAGCGACGCCGCGUGAACGAAGAAGGCUUUCGAGUCGUAAAGUUCUUUUAUAUGGGAAGAUAAUGACGGUACCAUAAGAAAAAGCCCCGGCUAACUACGUGCCAGCAGCCGCGGUAAUACGUAGGGGGCUAGCGUUGUCCGGAAUCACUGGGCGUAAAGGGUUCGCAGGCGGAAAUGCAAGUCAGGUGUAAAAGGCAGUAGCUUAACUACUGUAAGCAUUUGAAACUGCAUAUCUUGAGAAGAGUGGAGGUAAGUGGAAUUUUUAGUGUGGCGGUGAAAUGCGUAGAUAUUAAAAAGAAUACCGGUGGCGAAGGCGACUUACUGGGCUCAUUCUGACGCUGAGGAACGAAAGCGUGGGUAGCAAACAGG
This 403-nucleotide ribosomal RNA is filed under the name Fusobacteriota bacterium. RNAcentral's name for it is "Fusobacteria bacterium partial 16S ribosomal RNA". It matches the Rfam family "Bacterial small subunit ribosomal RNA", at positions 355 to 776 of the family's 1533-position model. Lineage: Bacteria; Fusobacteriati; Fusobacteriota. The record is from RNAcentral.